This 274-nucleotide long non-coding RNA is filed under the name Setaria italica (foxtail millet). RNAcentral describes it as "long non-coding RNA (SITA_LNC006860)". The record is from RNAcentral. Lineage: Eukaryota; Viridiplantae; Streptophyta; Magnoliopsida; Poales; Poaceae.
GAAAUCUGGCGUCAACACAUGCCCCCCAGUUUCGGAGUAAAACAUAGUCUUUACUUCGAAAUUCUUUUCAACUUCCCCUCCGAAACAACCGCAAUGAAAAUAUCCUUCCGUUUCACGGUCUUCAACCUGAUGAUUGCAAUCUUUUCGAAAUGGGCGCCCACGACAACCACUACUCCCGAAAAACUCGAAACGCCGGCGCGGUAAAAAUUCCAUUUUUACCCUUCCUCAAGCCCCCUUUAAAUAUCAGCACACCCCGCACUUCCUUUUCGAGCUC